This 2775-nucleotide ribosomal RNA is filed under the name Pseudomonas trivialis. RNAcentral describes it as "bacterial LSU rRNA". It matches the Rfam family "Bacterial large subunit ribosomal RNA". Lineage: Bacteria; Pseudomonadati; Pseudomonadota; Gammaproteobacteria; Pseudomonadales; Pseudomonadaceae. The record is from RNAcentral.
AGCGCAUACGGUGGAUGCCUUGGCAGUCAGAGGCGAUGAAAGACGUGGUAGCCUGCGAAAAGCUUCGGGGAGUCGGCAAACAGACUUUGAUCCGGAGAUGUCUGAAUGGGGGAACCCAGCCAUCAUAAGAUGGUUAUCUUACGCUGAAUACAUAGGCGUAAGAGGCGAACCAGGGGAACUGAAACAUCUAAGUACCCUGAGGAAAAGAAAUCAACCGAGAUUCCCUUAGUAGUGGCGAGCGAACGGGGACUAGCCCUUAAGUGGCUUUGAGAUUAGCGGAACGCUCUGGAAAGUGCGGCCAUAGUGGGUGAUAGCCCUGUACGCGAAAAUCUCUUGGUCAUGAAAUCGAGUAGGACGGAGCACGAGAAACUUUGUCUGAAUAUGGGGGGACCAUCCUCCAAGGCUAAAUACUACUGACUGACCGAUAGUGAACUAGUACCGUGAGGGAAAGGCGAAAAGAACCCCGGAGAGGGGAGUGAAAUAGAUCCUGAAACCGUAUGCGUACAAGCAGUGGGAGCCCACUUUGUUGGGUGACUGCGUACCUUUUGUAUAAUGGGUCAGCGACUUAUUUUCAGUGGCGAGCUUAACCGAAUAGGGGAGGCGUAGCGAAAGCGAGUCUUAAUAGGGCGUCUAGUCGCUGGGAAUAGACCCGAAACCGGGCGAUCUAUCCAUGGGCAGGUUGAAGGUUGGGUAACACUAACUGGAGGACCGAACCGACUACCGUUGAAAAGUUAGCGGAUGACCUGUGGAUCGGAGUGAAAGGCUAAUCAAGCUCGGAGAUAGCUGGUUCUCCUCGAAAGCUAUUUAGGUAGCGCCUCAUGUAUCACUGUAGGGGGUAGAGCACUGUUUCGGCUAGGGGGUCAUCCCGACUUACCAAACCGAUGCAAACUCCGAAUACCUACAAGUGCCGAGCAUGGGAGACACACGGCGGGUGCUAACGUCCGUCGUGAAAAGGGAAACAACCCAGACCGUCAGCUAAGGUCCCAAAGUUAUGGUUAAGUGGGAAACGAUGUGGGAAGGCUUAGACAGCUAGGAGGUUGGCUUAGAAGCAGCCACCCUUUAAAGAAAGCGUAAUAGCUCACUAGUCGAGUCGGCCUGCGCGGAAGAUGUAACGGGGCUCAAACCAUACACCGAAGCUACGGGUAUCACGUAAGUGAUGCGGUAGAGGAGCGUUCUGUAAGCCUGUGAAGGUGAGUUGAGAAGCUUGCUGGAGGUAUCAGAAGUGCGAAUGCUGACAUGAGUAACGACAAUGGGUGUGAAAAACACCCACGCCGAAAGACCAAGGUUUCCUGCGCAACGUUAAUCGACGCAGGGUUAGUCGGUCCCUAAGGCGAGGCUGAAAAGCGUAGUCGAUGGAAAACAGGUUAAUAUUCCUGUACUUCUGGUUAUUGCGAUGGAGGGACGGAGAAGGCUAGGCCAGCUUGGCGUUGGUUGUCCAAGUUUAAGGUGGUAGGCUGAGAUCUUAGGUAAAUCCGGGAUCUUAAGGCCGAGAGCUGAUGACGAGUGUUCUUUUAGAACACGAAGUGGUUGAUGCCAUGCUUCCAAGAAAAGCUUCUAAGCUUCAGGUAACCAGGAACCGUACCCCAAACCGACACAGGUGGUUGGGUAGAGAAUACCAAGGCGCUUGAGAGAACUCGGGUGAAGGAACUAGGCAAAAUGGCACCGUAACUUCGGGAGAAGGUGCGCCGGUGAGGGUGAAGGACUUGCUCCGUAAGCUCAUGCCGGUCGAAGAUACCAGGCCGCUGCGACUGUUUAUUAAAAACACAGCACUCUGCAAACACGAAAGUGGACGUAUAGGGUGUGACGCCUGCCCGGUGCCGGAAGGUUAAUUGAUGGGGUUAGCUAACGCGAAGCUCUUGAUCGAAGCCCCGGUAAACGGCGGCCGUAACUAUAACGGUCCUAAGGUAGCGAAAUUCCUUGUCGGGUAAGUUCCGACCUGCACGAAUGGCGUAACGAUGGCGGCGCUGUCUCCACCCGAGACUCAGUGAAAUUGAAAUCGCUGUGAAGAUGCAGUGUAUCCGCGGCUAGACGGAAAGACCCCGUGAACCUUUACUAUAGCUUUGCACUGGACUUUGAAUUUGCUUGUGUAGGAUAGGUGGGAGGCUUUGAAGCGUGGACGCCAGUCUGCGUGGAGCCAACCUUGAAAUACCACCCUGGCAACUUUGAGGUUCUAACUCAGGUCCGUUAUCCGGAUCGAGGACAGUGUAUGGUGGGUAGUUUGACUGGGGCGGUCUCCUCCUAAAGAGUAACGGAGGAGUACGAAGGUGCGCUCAGACCGGUCGGAAAUCGGUCGUAGAGUAUAAAGGCAAAAGCGCGCUUGACUGCGAGACAGACACGUCGAGCAGGUACGAAAGUAGGUCUUAGUGAUCCGGUGGUUCUGUAUGGAAGGGCCAUCGCUCAACGGAUAAAAGGUACUCCGGGGAUAACAGGCUGAUACCGCCCAAGAGUUCAUAUCGACGGCGGUGUUUGGCACCUCGAUGUCGGCUCAUCACAUCCUGGGGCUGAAGCCGGUCCCAAGGGUAUGGCUGUUCGCCAUUUAAAGUGGUACGCGAGCUGGGUUUAGAACGUCGUGAGACAGUUCGGUCCCUAUCUGCCGUGGACGUUUGAGAUUUGAGAGGGGCUGCUCCUAGUACGAGAGGACCGGAGUGGACGAACCUCUGGUGUUCCGGUUGUCACGCCAGUGGCAUUGCCGGGUAGCUAUGUUCGGAAUAGAUAACCGCUGAAAGCAUCUAAGCGGGAAACUAGCCUCAAGAUGAGAUCUCACUGGAACCUUGA